CUUGCAACAGUUCACUAACUCAUACAAUCAAUACAUCUACAAAGGCACACAAUUUAUUGUAAGAAAUGGAGAGGCUCUCGAGAAGAAGACUCUGCAGGAGGCUGAACAUCACAAUAAAUCAAUGAUUGCCAAAUACGGACUGCAAGAGCAGUACAUCAGUAGAUACAAAGGGUGUGGAGUUUUCGCGACUCACACAAUAUGUAAAGGAGACUUUGUCCUGGAAUACAGAGGAGAACUUUUAACUGAAAAGGAGGCUCUUGCCCAAAUUACCAGAAACCAUGAGGCAGAGACGGUCUUAUUUAAUUUUAAAUGGCAUGGGCAGAAUUGGUGCCAGUUCAAGUACAUCUUUAGGAUGUAAAG
Esox lucius (northern pike) is the source of this 360-nucleotide long non-coding RNA. RefSeq lists it as uncharacterized. The transcript has 3 exons. NCBI's taxonomy places the organism in Eukaryota, Metazoa, Chordata, Actinopteri, Esociformes, Esocidae. The record is from RefSeq and is a predicted model, not a curated record.